GGAAGGGGCUCAUGUGGCUUCCCCGGGGCACAGCCUCCGCCUCCAGAGCCGGCUCCGUCGGUGCUGGGAAUGCAGUGAUCCCUUGGGCCAUGCCAGGCUGGAGUGAACCCCUUCCCAUGGUGUCUGAUGGGGUGGUGCUCCCGGGGAAUGGCUGCUGUGGGAUCCCCGGGAAUGGCUGCUGUGGGAUCCCGGGAAUGGCUGGUGUGGGAUCCCUGGGGUGCCAUGGGAUCCCCGGCCUGGUUCCCUUCCCUCGCUCUGUUCCUCCAUCCCAGCAGCAUCCCGGCCUUUCCUUGUGUUUUCCCUCAGCUCCGGGUUCCCAGAGAGGAUCCUCCCACCAGGCUUCCCGCUCCUGCUCCCUCAUCCCGACUUUCCCUGUGCAAGGAUGCCCUUCCCGCUGCUCAUCCUGGCACUCAGCCUGGCAGGUGCCAUGGAGAUCCAGGUGCCGGAGGAGCCCGUGGUGGCCCUGUUUGGCCAGGACGCCACGCUGCUGUGCUCCUUCUCUCCCGAGGCCAACUUCAGCGUGGCCGAGCUGAGCCUCAUCUGGCAGCUGACGGACACCAAGCGCCUGGUGCACGGCUUCUCCGGGGGCCGCGACCGCCUGCAGGACCAGGGCCGCGGCUACGCCAACCGCACGGCGCUCUUCUACGACCAGCUGCAACGGGGCAACGUGUCCCUGCUGCUGCGCCGCGUGCGCAUCUCCGACGAGGGCAGCUUCACCUGCUUCGUGCGCGUGCGCGACUACGACAGCGCCGCCGUCGCGCUGCAGGUGGCGGCUCCCUACUCCAAGCCCAGCGUGCACCUGGAGCCCAGCAAGGACCUGAAGCCGGGCGACGUGGCCGAGGUGACGUGCCACGCGUCCCGCGGCUACCCCGAGGCCAGCGUGCUGUGGCAGGACAGCCGGGGUGCCAACCUGACGGCCAACGUCACCACGUGGCAGGUGGCCAACGAGGAGGGGCUCUUCGAGGUGCGCAGCGUCCUGCGCGUGCUGGUGGAGCCCAGCGUCACCUACUCGUGCCUGGUGCUCAACGCCGCGCUGCGCCAGCACGGCCACGCCUCUGUCACCAUCACGGCCCCUGGCAUUCCCGGCGGUGGCCCUGUGGGUGACAGUGGCGCUGGCCGUGUGCGUGGUGGCCCUGCUGGGCGUCCUGGCCUUCGUGUGCCACCAGAAGAUCCGGGAGAGCUGCCGGGAGGAUGAGGAGCGCGCAGGGCCAGAGGAGCGGGAUGAGGAGGGGGAGGAGCCCAAGACAGCUCUGCAGCUGCUGGAAAACACGGAGAGCAGAGAGGGUCGGGAGCAGGAGAUCGAUUGACGGCAGCCCCGCCCCGCCCGCGUGUCCCCGAGCGAGCGGCGACACCCCCGGGACGGCGACACUCCCUGGGGCGGUGACACUCCCUGGGCCGGUGACGCUCCCUGGGGCGGUGACAUCCCCUGGCGGUGACACCUCCAAGCCGGCGACAACCCUGGGGCAGCGACACCCCCGGGGGGUGACACCCCCGGGACGGCGACACCC
This is an RNA transcript of Motacilla alba alba, 1508 nucleotides long. It is a transcript of the gene named CD276 molecule, with no coding region annotated. The record is from RefSeq and is a predicted model, not a curated record. NCBI's taxonomy places the organism in Eukaryota, Metazoa, Chordata, Aves, Passeriformes, Motacillidae. The transcript has 7 exons.